This 73-nucleotide transfer RNA is filed under the name Candidatus Pacearchaeota archaeon. RNAcentral describes it as "tRNA-Asn". It matches the Rfam family "tRNA". Rfam says of the family: Transfer RNA (tRNA) molecules are approximately 80 nucleotides in length. The record is from RNAcentral. Lineage: Archaea; Nanobdellati.
GUCUGAGUAGCUCAGUUGGUGGAGCGAUCGGCUGUUAACCGAUAGGUCGGAGGUUCGAGCCCUCCCUCAGACG